This 90-nucleotide microRNA precursor is filed under the name Sphingopyxis panaciterrulae. Its description in RNAcentral is "microRNA MIR1846". Lineage: Bacteria; Pseudomonadati; Pseudomonadota; Alphaproteobacteria; Sphingomonadales; Sphingopyxidaceae. The record is from RNAcentral.
CUAAUUCGUCGCCCCCGCGAAGGCGGGGGCCGUUGGCAAUCUUGCUCAAGGCCGACAGCGGCCCCCGCCUUCGCGGGGGCGACGCCGAAU